RNAcentral lists this ribosomal RNA (455 nucleotides) under uncultured bacterium. RNAcentral describes it as "bacterial SSU rRNA". It matches the Rfam family "Bacterial small subunit ribosomal RNA", at positions 29 to 524 of the family's 1533-position model. The record is from RNAcentral.
AACGAACGCUGGCGGCAGGCUUAACACAUGCAAGUCGAACGGGCGCGAGCAAUCGCGUCAGUGGCAGACGGGUGAGUAACACGUGGGAACCUUCCUAGGGGUACGGAACAACUCAGGGAAACUUGAGCUAAUACCGUAUACGUCCGUAAGGAGAAAGAUUCAUCGCCCCUAGACGGGCCCGCGUCGGAUUAGCUAGUUGGUGGGGUAACGGCCUACCAAGGCGACGAUCCGUAGCUGAUCUGAGAGGAUGAUCAGCCACACUGGGACUGAGACACGGCCCAGACUCCUACGGGAGGCAGCAGUGGGGAAGUCUUGGACAAUGGGCGCAAGCCUGAUCCAGCCAUGCCGCGUGAGUGAAGAAGGCCUUAGGGUUGUAAAGCUCUUUUACCAGGGACGAUAAUGACGGUACCUGGAGAAUAAGCCCCGGCAAACUUCGUGCCAGCCGCCGCCGUAAG